GUUGCUUGGCUCCUCCUUCUUCCAUGGGAGGGCUGCUCCAGAGUUGAGACCAUUUUUGCUGAUGGAUUGCCUGGAGACAUGUUCACCAUCACUGCAAAAGGAAGCAGGGAGCCAAGGAGGUGGUGCAAACCUGUCAUCUCAGCUCUUGCAGAGUUGAGUUGGAAAACAACCUGGAAGAUAUUCUGGGCAAGAUCUUUCUGCUACAGUCUCCUUGCUGGGGUCAUGUCUUCAAGAAGAUGGAGCACCUUCAGAGGGGCUUGCCUCAGUAACUCCUACUUCAUACACCCUCUUGGAUUAUUUCAGAACCUUCUAUCUGGAUCUGUCCCGAUUUCAGUUUUGGAGAACCCCGGUUUCAUUGGUUGAUGUCACUCCAGGAAGUGUGAGACAUCUCCUUCAGCUCUUUCAUCCCCUCUGUGAUUGCCACUCCACCUGUCAGAACUGAAGAACAAGGCUUCUAGACUUUUGAACUUAACCUUUACAGCGUCACUCAAAUCCCCAGGGCAAAGCUGCGGCUGCUGCUGUCCUGACCCUCAGAAGAGCAGGUGACACUAGGCACAGCAUGAGCACCUGUUGAAGCCUCUCCAGGGAGGAAGAUGAUUGGAGAGGGAAGCUGAGCCAGGGGAGGCAGAGUAGGAUGCUGGCUCACAAGGUGCAAGCUGCAUCUCCUAACUCUUUGGGAAGAUGGGUUUCUAUGGGAGGUUCCAAGGGCAACCCAAGCGGACAAGACUCACCAGCUCUUUCUUUGUGCCCUCUCUUUUGAUAAUUUUGG
Molecule: long non-coding RNA, 769 nt
Organism: Mus musculus (house mouse)
Lineage: Eukaryota; Metazoa; Chordata; Mammalia; Rodentia; Muridae
Product: predicted gene, 53233
Exons: 3
Source: RefSeq, a predicted model, not a curated record